UCAGGACGAACGCUGGCGGCGUGCCUAACACAUGCAAGUCGAGCGAGGAGAUCCUCGGGAUGAUCCUAGCGGCGGACGGGUGAGUAACACGUGGGCAACCUGCCUCAUAGAGAGGAAUAGCCUUCCGAAAGGGAGAUUAAUACCUCAUAACAUUGCAGUUUCGCAUGGAACAGCAAUUAAAGGAGCAAUCCACUAUGAGAUGGGCCCGCGGCGCAUUAGCUAGUUGGUGAGGUAACGGCUCACCAAGGCGACGAUGCGUAGCCGACCUGAGAGGGUGAUCGGCCACAUUGGGACUGAGACACGGCCCAGACUCCUACGGGAGGCAGCAGUGGGGAAUAUUGCACAAUGGGGGAAACCCUGAUGCCAGCAACGCCGCGUGAGUGAUGACGGCCUUCGGGUUGUAAAGCUCUGUCUUCAGGGACGAUAAUGACGGUACCUGAGGAGGAAGCCACGGCUAACCACGUGCCAGCCGCCGC
This 476-nucleotide ribosomal RNA is filed under the name uncultured bacterium. Its description in RNAcentral is "bacterial SSU rRNA". It matches the Rfam family "Bacterial small subunit ribosomal RNA", at positions 24 to 518 of the family's 1533-position model. The record is from RNAcentral.